UAGUCGUCGAGUAGUCGUGACGUGACCAUGUCGUCCCGUGUGCUGUCAUGGCUCCCACACUUCGCUCUCUUGCUGCCUGUCCUGUUGAUGUUAUGUUCCUGCGUAAGCGGUCAAACUAACGGCACAUCGAUCGUGGCAGCUCUCAUCAUCAACAAGAUCGAGAGGUGUAUCGACAAAUUGAACGCCAUUGUCGACGUCAUCGGAUUAGUGGGAUGAGGAGAUGUCG
Vanessa tameamea is the source of this 226-nucleotide long non-coding RNA. RefSeq lists it as uncharacterized. The record is from RefSeq and is a predicted model, not a curated record. Lineage: Eukaryota; Metazoa; Arthropoda; Insecta; Lepidoptera; Nymphalidae. The transcript has 3 exons.